This 561-nucleotide ribosomal RNA is filed under the name uncultured Glomus. RNAcentral describes it as "SSU rRNA". It matches the Rfam family "Eukaryotic small subunit ribosomal RNA", at positions 548 to 1103 of the family's 1831-position model. Lineage: Eukaryota; Fungi; Glomeromycota; Glomeromycetes; Glomerales; Glomeraceae. The record is from RNAcentral.
UUGGAGGGCAAGUCUGGUGCCAGCAGCCGCGGUAAUUCCAGCUCCAAUAGCGUAUAUUAAAGUUGUUGCAGUUAAAGAGCUCGUAGUUGAAUUUCGGGAUUGACGUGAUGGUCAUGCCUUAAGGGGUAUGAACUGUUACUGUUGAUUUCUCACCUUCUGGAGAAACUUGAUGUCCUUUAUUGGGUGUCUUGCGGAUCCAGGACCUUUACCUUGAAAAAAUUAGAGUGUUUAAAGCAGGCAUUUUUGCUCGAAUACAUUAGCAUGGAAUAAUAGAAUAGGACGGCAUGGUUCUAUUUUGUUGGUUUCUAGGAUCACCGUAAUGAUUAAUAGGGAUAGUUGGGGGCAUUAGUAUUCAAUUGUCAGAGGUGAAAUUCUUGGAUUUAUUGAAGACUAACUACUGCGAAAGCAUUUGCCAAGGAUGUUUUCAUUAAUCAAGAACGAAAGUUAGGGGAUCGAAGACGAUCAGAUACCGUCGUAGUCUUAACCAUAAACUAUGCCGACUAGGAAUCAGACGAUGUUAAUUUUUUAAUGACUCGUUUGGCACCUUACGGGAAACCAAAG